RNAcentral lists this ribosomal RNA (1480 nucleotides) under metagenome. RNAcentral's name for it is "bacterial SSU rRNA". It matches the Rfam family "Bacterial small subunit ribosomal RNA". The record is from RNAcentral.
AGAGUUUGAUCCUGGCUCAGGAUGAACGCUAGCGGCAGGCUUAACACAUGCAAGUCGAGGGGUAACGAUGUUUUCGGACAGGCGACGACCGGCGCACGGGUGAGUAACGCGUAUGCAACCUACCUUUAACAGGGAGAUAGCCCGAAGAAAUUCGGAUUAAUAUCCCAUAACACCAUAGUGUCUCAUGGCACCAUGGUUAAAGCUCCGGCGGUUAAAGAUGGGCAUGCGUGACAUUAGAUUGUUGGUGAGGUAACGGCUCACCAAGUCUACGAUGUCUAGGGGGUCUGAGAGGAUGGUCCCCCACACUGGUACUGAGACACGGACCAGACUCCUACGGGAGGCAGCAGUGAGGAAUAUUGGUCAAUGGGCGCAAGCCUGAACCAGCCAUGCCGCGUGUAGGAUGACUGCCCUAUGGGUUGUAAACUACUUUUAUAUGGGAAGAAACCUCCGGACGUGUUCGGAGCUGACGGUACCAUAGGAAUAAGCAUCGGCUAACUCCGUGCCAGCAGCCGCGGUAAUACGGAGGAUGCAGGCGUUAUCCGGAUUUAUUGGGUUUAAAGGGUGCGCAGGCGGAUUGAUAAGUCAGUGGUGAAAUCCUACAGCUCAACUGUAGAACUGCCAUUGAUACUGUUAAUCUUGAGUUUGGUUGAGGUAGGCGGAAUGUGUCAUGUAGCGGUGAAAUGCUUAGAUAUGACACAGAACACCGAUUGCGAAGGCAGCUUACUAAACCAAUACUGACGCUGAGGCACGAAAGCGUGGGGAGCGAACAGGAUUAGAUACCCUGGUAGUCCACGCCGUAAACGAUGAAUACUCGCUGUUAGCAAUACACAGUUAGCGGCUAAGCGAAAGCAUUAAGUAUUCCACCUGGGGAGUACGAUCGCAAGAUUGAAACUCAAAGGAAUUGACGGGGGCCCGCACAAGCGGAGGAACAUGUGGUUUAAUUCGAUGAUACGCAAGGAACCUUACCUGGGCUUAAAUGUAGUUUGAUUUUAUUGGAAACGAUAUUUCCCUUCGGGGCAAAUUACAAGGUGCUGCAUGGUUGUCGUCAGCUCGUGCCGUGAGGUGUCGGGUUAAGUCCCAUAACGAGCGCAACCCUUAUCCUUAGUUGCCAGCGGGUAAUGCCGGGGACUCUAAGGAGACUGCCAGUGUAAACUGUGAGGAAGGUGGGGAUGACGUCAAAUCAGCACGGCCCUUAUGUCCAGGGCUACACACGUGUUACAAUGGCCGAUACAAAGGGCAGCUACCUGGUGACAGGAUGCUAAUCUCUAAAGUCGGUCUCAGUUCGGAUCGAAGUCUGCAACUCGACUUCGUGAAGUUGGAUUCGCUAGUAAUCGUAUAUCAGCAAUGAUACGGUGAAUACGUUCCCGGGCCUUGUACACACCGCCCGUCAAACCAUGGAAGCUGGGGGUACCUGAAGUUCGUAACCGUAAGGAGCGGCCUAGGGUAAAUCUGGUGACUGGGGUUAAGUCGUAACAAGGUA